Tachysurus fulvidraco (yellow catfish) is the source of this 602-nucleotide long non-coding RNA. RefSeq lists it as uncharacterized. NCBI's taxonomy places the organism in Eukaryota, Metazoa, Chordata, Actinopteri, Siluriformes, Bagridae. The transcript has 3 exons. The record is from RefSeq and is a predicted model, not a curated record.
CUGAGAUAGGCACAGGCUCCCCGUGACCCGAGAAGUUCGGAUAAGCGGUAGAAAAUGAAUUUAAGGGUUUCUGGGCUUAUCCGGUGUAAAGGGCAAGAAAAAGGAAUGUAGGAGUAUUCGCACACGGUACGAAAAAAGGUGCAGAUCAAGAGACAUGAUCGUGAAAAAGACUGUGCUGUAAAGGACGCUGAAGAAUUGCGGGAAAAGAUACCUAAUGAGGCCACAAAUCUUCAACAGCAUGCGACUGAGCAUUGCUAUUUUAUUUUUAUGUUUAUUCAGGACAUGUUUGUCACAGAACAAUGCAAUCAUUGUCACUUUUAAUUUUGUAUUAGAUUUUUUUGUAUUAGUUUUUAAUUUUUUUUUUUUUAAAUUCACUUUUAAUUUUGUAUCAUAAAAACUGACUGCUGUGCUGCCAUUGGAGAUUUGAGGUUUUAAACAACUUACACAUAACAAUAAAGUUUGUAGUAUUAGAAUGCGGUUCAACAUUUUUUUUUAAUCACUGGAGAUGAUGCACAUAACAUGUGUUUUAUAGAUAUUUGUAGAUUAGAUAUUUGGGUUUGAGAUCAAGAGAUUAACAUGAGAUUUGUAUAUUUAUGGUACAU